GGUAUUCUGGAGUCUUUCUUGAGUCCUGAAGGAAGGAGGAGGCUCUAAAGAGAAUUUCUCUGUUCUUUUUUACACAGCUAUCCUAUUAGUUGCUGAGUCCCACACAUAAAAUGCCGUGAAUUAGCUGCAACUGGUCUGGCCUGUGUCUAAGGUAAUUCCCAGUACCAGAGAGAGAAUAUCUGCUUCAUAAAUCUAGACUGUUUGGGGAUCAAAACUGAAGAGAGGAAUUUCUGCUAUUUUAAGGCUGUUAGUGAAUGCCAUCAGCAAAUCCUUUGGUUGCACAAACUGUGGAUGGAGUUUUAAGUUGCACAAAGUGCUGCAGUGCAGGUUGUUCUGGCCUGCCUCCGCCCGUCAUCGCUAUUGAGAACCAGUCCCCACCUUAAACUCAAGAAUGUUGCAGACCUAACACGUCUGCUGAUCACAACUGCAGCAGUGUGGAACAGAGAAAGAAGUGGCCUCUCCCAGCCUAGAUCCCAGCCGAUGGCGGACUUUG
Molecule: long non-coding RNA, 493 nt
Filed under: Crocodylus porosus (Australian saltwater crocodile)
Lineage: Eukaryota; Metazoa; Chordata; Crocodylia; Crocodylidae
Description: lncRNA (ENSCPRG00005009614.1)
Source: RNAcentral